AAAAUUUGUUAUUGUGAAACAGGCAAUCGAUAGGCUUCCAUUGGUUCCUGGUGUUCUUGAACUUGUAGGCAUCGGUUACACAGGAGUG
RNAcentral lists this small RNA (88 nucleotides) under Arabidopsis thaliana (thale cress). Its description in RNAcentral is "ATSL128420". The record is from RNAcentral. Lineage: Eukaryota; Viridiplantae; Streptophyta; Magnoliopsida; Brassicales; Brassicaceae.